Molecule: long non-coding RNA, 1672 nt
Organism: Manis pentadactyla (Chinese pangolin)
Lineage: Eukaryota; Metazoa; Chordata; Mammalia; Pholidota; Manidae
Exons: 2
Source: RefSeq, a predicted model, not a curated record
AUGUGUUCUGCACACUGAAGGAAGGUAUGUAAAUGAAUGGUUCAUGCUUGUAAUCGUUAGGCAUAUAAUUUGAACUGUGUAAUGGGAAAGGCAUAUUAUUAUCAUUCUUUAAAAGGCUUUGAAAAGUAUACUGCACGAGAGCAUUUUUCAGUAAAUGUCAGAAUUAAGACAAAAUGAACUUAACCAUUUUCUGUAGAUAUUUAGUUUUCUCAUAAAAGUCUUGUUCAGUUCUUAUGACAUAUGAGAUCAAGACGUUUAGAUCCUUGUAAAGUAAACUAAAACUCAGUGAUACGGGAUUUUGGCAAUUUAAACAAAUCUUAAAUUUCAAUUACAAAGAAAAUAAACUACAUAAAUAUUUGUACUAAAGGAAUGUUUUCCUUUUUAAGUAACUGUUGUGUGUUAAUGUUCAUUGAUUUAGAUGUAUCUAAUCAAAGUGGUGCUACUAUCUUACCAUUUGUUUUCAAGCUAAAUUGUCUAAAUUUAUAGAGAAGCAUGGACAUAAAAAACAGACCAAAAAUAGCCCACCUUUAUUCAUAUAUCAGUUAUUCAGUCCAGUACCCUUGAAAUACUUUUCAUAUGAUUAAGACCCCAACCAUUUAGAUAUUGCUUUAUUUUUGCUGUGUACAUUUUGAUAUUUCUUGACAGUUAAAAAUAACAGAUAACCAUUUACUCGUAUUUCUUUUCACAUAGCUCUAACUUACUUGGAGCCACAAAGAUGAUAAAUCCUAAAUGAGCUGACUACUAAGUGGAUGGUUUCAGAAUAUCUAGGGUUUAGAGUAGGUAUUAUAUAUGCAUGCUUUGUUUUAUGAAGGCUUUCUUGGGAGUGCGGAAGGAAAUAAAUUUUUUGUCAAAACUUCUUGUUAAAACAGAAGAAUCAGCUGGCUUCACAAGCUGCCUUUUGAACUAGAUGGCUUACGGGUAACUAUAUAGGUCUCAUAAGCUUUGAGAAGUCUUUGAAACUGCUUCUGCUUUCAAAUAGCAUUUAAAUGCUCAUUCAGGGGAGGCUGGAUGUUUUUUUCUUAAGAUUUUCUUGGUUCCUGAUUUUAUGAGCUGUGACGUGAAGAUAAGAACUAUUCAGUCUGUUAGACCAUAACCUGCCAUAUGUAUGUUUGUACCUUCCUUGAAUUUUAAGUAUAUUUUGGUUAAGGGGACCAAACUAAAAGCAGCUAAGAGUUAAGAGUGCUGUACUCUAAACUGACAAAUAUAUCUAACUUACUUUCUUCCUUUUUUUCUCCCUCUAUUCUUCCUUCCUUUGAUAUUGAUUGAGCAGCUACUACAUGCCAGGCACUUUGCAAGGUGCUACUGAAACAAAGGAAUAGGUUCUACUAUGAUCAACUAUUUUAUGUUGUUAUGGACUGGAUUUUGUACCCUCAAAUUCAUACAUUGAAGGCCUAAUCCCCAUUAUGACUGUAUUUGGAAAUAAGACCUUAAGGAGAUAAAGUAAAGUGAGAUUAUAAGAGCACUAAUCCAAUAUGACUGGUGUCCUUAUAAGAAGAGAGAGACACCAGGGAUGUGCAUGCACAGAGCAAAUGUCAUGUAAGGCCACAGGGAGGAGGUGGCUGUCUGCAAACUAGGGAAAGUGGGUUCAGUGGAAACCAAACCUUCUGACACCUUGAUAAUGGACUGCCAUCCUCCCAAACUAUGAGAAAAUAAAUUACUGUUGUUUAAACCA